RNAcentral lists this ribosomal RNA (585 nucleotides) under fungal sp. TZ-2015b. Its description in RNAcentral is "eukaryotic LSU rRNA". The stretch from base 158 to 311 matches the Rfam family "5.8S ribosomal RNA". Lineage: Eukaryota; Fungi. The record is from RNAcentral.
GGGGCAUUUGGAUUAGGGCGUCUACUUGUAGAGCCUGACCUCCACUUCUAACACUGUGCACUUGAUGGCGAGGUAAUGGAACUUUCGAGUGAAACUACCUUGCGGCUUCAUUUUAAACAUUAGUCAAAGUAUGUCAUGAAAUAUAAAAACAAAAAAAAACUUUCAACAACGGAUCUCUUGGCUCUCGCAUCGAUGAAGAACGCAGCGAAAUGUGAUAAGUAAUGUGAAUUGCAGAAUUCAGUGAAUCAUCGAAUCUUUGAACGCACCUUGCGCUCCCUGGUAUUCCGGGGAGCAUGCCUGUUUGAGUGUCAUGAACUCUUCAACCCACCAGUUUCUAGUAGACUGCGUUGGUGUUUGGAUUUUGAGCGUUGCUAGUCUGACUAGCUCGUUCGUAAUAUAUUAGCAUCUCUAAUUCGAAUUCGGAUUGACUCAGUGUAAUAGACUAUUCGCUGAGGACACUUUUAUUAGUGGCCGUACUAGAACCAGUAGAAGCUUCCAACUAUUGUAGUCAACUUUAAUUUAGACCUCAGAUCAGGCAGGAUUACCCGCUGAACUUAAGCAUAUCAAUAACCGGGAGGGAAGAAA